CGUAGGUGAACCUGCGAAAGGAUCAUAAAUGAACUUGAACUGCUUGUGGCUCUGGGCUGUGCUGACGAGGACCUUCACGGGUUCUUCGUACGUGCACGUCUGGGGUUGCAGCUUUCUUCGUCCACCUGUGCACACUCUGUAGGUCUGGAUACCCCAUUGGAAGGGUGCGCUUUUUGCGCUCCCUUUGCCUUCCAGGCCUAUGUCUUACAAACACUAUAGUAUGUAACGAAUGUCAUUGAUUAUUGGACUUCACUGUCCUUUAAACUAAAUACAACUUUCAACAACGGAUCUCUUGGCUCUCGCAUCGAUGAAGAACGCAGCGAAAUGCGAUAACUAAUGUGAAUUGCAGAAUUCAGUGAAUCAUCGAGUCUUUGAACGCACCUUGCGCCCUUUGGUACUCCGAAGGGCAUGCCUGUUUGAGUGUCAGUAACUUCUCAACCUCCCUCACUUUGUUGUGAGCUGGCGGAUUGGAUGUGGGGGCUUGCUGGACCUUAUCUUUGGGUUCAGCUCCCCUGAAAUGCAUUAGCAGAAACCGUUACCUUUUGGCGCGCUGCAGCUGUGAUAAUUAUCUACGGCUAUGGCUGGGCUGACUGUGUUGUAGCGCUCGUCUCGUCUCUGAAGUGGUUUCGCCUUAGUUGGUGCUUCCCUUUGCCUUCUCUCUCACGAGAGAUACCUGUGACGCGAGUGCGCGGGCUAUUCCGCUUCUAACCGUCCCCUUGUGGGACAAACUAUUGACCAUUUGACCUCAAAUCAGGUAGGACUACCCGCUGAACUUAAGCAUAUCAAUAAGCGGAGGA
RNAcentral lists this ribosomal RNA (797 nucleotides) under Flammulina velutipes. RNAcentral describes it as "eukaryotic LSU rRNA". The stretch from base 273 to 426 matches the Rfam family "5.8S ribosomal RNA". The record is from RNAcentral. Lineage: Eukaryota; Fungi; Basidiomycota; Agaricomycetes; Agaricales; Physalacriaceae.